GGGGAAAAAUUAAUAAAUUAUAAAUAAUAAAAAAAUUUUUAAUAUUGGGGGAUAUUGAAGUAUUUUUUUAAAAAAAAUAAUUUAAUUUAUAAUGAAUUAGUAUUGAAGAAGAAAUUUGAAAUAAUUGAAAAUAAAUUGAUAGUAAAGUAAUUUUUAUUUAAUGUAUCUUGUGUAUCAGAGUUUAUUAAAAAAUAUUUUUUUUAAAAAAAAAUCUCGAAUUUAAAAGAGUUAAUUAAUUAUAAAAGUUAAUGUAGAAAAAUUAUUUUUAAUAAUUAAUUUGAAAUGAAAUGUUAAUCGUUUUUAAAUAUAUCUAGUUAUUUUAGAAAAAAAUUUAAUUUAAAAUUUAAAAAAUUUUAUUUUUAAUUAUAAUUAAAAAUAAAAUUUUAAAAUUAAAUAUAUUAAGGGAUAAGCUUUAAUAUAAAAAUUUAUAAUAAAUUAAUUUAAAAAUAAAAAUUUUAAAAUUUAUAUUGUUUAAAAAUUUUAAUUUAUUAUAAAAAAUUUUAUUUUUAAUAAAAUUUAAUAAAAAAAAUUUAAAUUUAUAUAAAAUAAUAAUAAAAAUAAAAAAAAAAUUAGUAAUAAUGAUAAAAUUAGUAUAUUAUUAUAAAAUGUAAUUUAAUUAAUUAAAAAUAAAUUAAAGGAAUUCGGCAAAAUUUUAUAUUCACUUGUUUAUCAAAAACAUGUCUUUUAGAUAAUAAUUUAAAGUCUAAUCUGCCCACUGAUAAAUAUAUUAAAGGGCUGCAGUAUAUUGACUGUACAAAGGUAGCAUAAUCAUUAGUCUUUUAAUUGAAGACUUGUAUGAAAGAUUUGAUGAAAUAUAAACUGUCUCUAAUAUAAUUAUAAAAUUUAAUUUUUUAGUUAAAAAGCUAAAAUAAAUUUAAAAGACGAGAAGACCCUAUAGAGUUUUAUAUUAAAAUUAUUUAAGAUUAUAUAUAUAAAUAAAUAUUAAAAGUAAAAUUAAUAUUUUAUUGGGGUGAUAAAAAAAUUAAUAUAACUUUUUUUUUAAAAAAAACAUAAAUAAGUGAUUAAUUGAUCCAUUUAUUAUGAUUAAAAGAAAAAAUUACCUUAGGGAUAACAGCGUAAUAUUUUUUUUUAGUACAAAUAAAAAAAAAAGUUUGCGACCUCGAUGUUGGAUUAAGAUAAAAUUUAAAUGCAAAAGUUUAAAAUUUUGAUCUGUUCGAUCAUUAAAAUCUUACAUGAUCUGAGUUCAAACCGGUGUGAGCCAGGUUGGUUUCUAUCUUUAAUAAAAAAAAAUAUUUUAGUACGAAAGGAUCAAGUAUUUUUAAUAAUUAAAAUUUAAUGAAUAUUAAUAAUUAAUAAUU
This 1319-nucleotide ribosomal RNA is filed under the name Limenitis sulpitia. Its description in RNAcentral is "16S ribosomal RNA". The record is from RNAcentral. Lineage: Eukaryota; Metazoa; Arthropoda; Insecta; Lepidoptera; Nymphalidae.